GCUGGCGGCGUGCCUAACACAUGCAAGCGAACGGACUGUUGACCUUCGGGGCAACAGUUAGUGGCGAACGGGUGAGUAACGCGUGGGUAACCUGCCCUUAUAUCGGGGAUAACUUGCCGAAAGGUGAGCUAAUACCGGAUGACCUAUAGAGAUUGCAUAAUCUUAAUAGCAAAGGUGGCCUCUGAAUAUGCUACCGUAUAAGGAUGGAACCCGCGUCUGAUUAGCUAGUUGGUGAGGUAGAGGCUCACCAAGGCGACGAUCAGUAGCCGGCCUGAGAGGGUGAACGGCCACACUGGGACUGAGACACGGCCCAGACUCCUACGGGAGGCAGCAGUGGGGAAUCUUCCGCAAUGGACGAAAGUCUGACGGAGCAACGCCGCGUGAGUGAAGAAGGUCUUCGGAUUGUAAAACUCUGUCGUUUUGGGACGAACGGCAUAUGUGUGAAUAAUGCGUAUGAUUGACGGUACCAAAGGAGGAAGCCCCGGCUAACUACGUG
Molecule: ribosomal RNA, 496 nt
Filed under: uncultured bacterium
Lineage: Bacteria
Description: bacterial SSU rRNA
Rfam family: Bacterial small subunit ribosomal RNA
Source: RNAcentral